AAAGUAUUUCCUGCCCUAUGGUUUUAUUUAAAUGGCUGCAGUAUUUUGACUGUGCAAAGGUAGCAUAGUAAUUAGUUUCUUAAUUAGGAACUUGUAUGAAUGGAUGAAUGAGAUAUAGGUUUUAUUUAUUUAAAAGUUAAAAUUUUAAUUUUAAGUAAAAAUGCUUAAGAUUUUUCUUGGGACGAUAAGACCCUAUAGAACUUUAUAUUUGCUUAAUAAAUUGUUUUUAAUUUUUAUAUAUAAUUUUUUAUUUAAAUGUUUUGCUGGGGUGGUUAAUAAAUUUUAACUUUAUUUUUUUAUUUCAUUGUUAGUUGUUUUUAUUGAUCCUAAUGGAUUAUAAGAAUAAGUUACCUUAGGGAUAACAGCGUAAUUUUAGUGGGGAGUUCAUAUCUAUACUGAUUUUGCGACCUCGAUGUUGAAUUAAGAAAAAACUAAGAAGCAGAAUUCUUAGAUUUAAGUCUGUUCGA
Molecule: ribosomal RNA, 467 nt
Filed under: Aconurella diplachnis
Lineage: Eukaryota; Metazoa; Arthropoda; Insecta; Hemiptera; Cicadellidae
Description: partial large subunit ribosomal RNA
Source: RNAcentral